Molecule: ribosomal RNA, 659 nt
Filed under: uncultured Actinomycetes bacterium
Lineage: Bacteria; Bacillati; Actinomycetota; Actinomycetes
Description: bacterial SSU rRNA
Rfam family: Bacterial small subunit ribosomal RNA
Source: RNAcentral
UGCCUAACACAUGCAAGUCGAACGAUGAAACCGCCCUCGGGCGGACAUGAAGUGGCGAACGGGUGAGUAACACGUGACCAACCUGCCCCUUGCUCCGGGACAACCUUGGGAAACCGAGGCUAAUACCGGAUACUCCUCGCCCCCCUCCUGGGGGGCCCGGGAAAGCCCAGACGGCAAGGGAUGGGGUCGCGGCCCAUUAGGUAGUAGGCGGGGUAACGGCCCACCUAGCCCGCGAUGGGUAGCCGGGUUGAGAGACCGACCGGCCACAUUGGGACUGAGAUACGGCCCAGACUCCUACGGGAGGCAGCAGUGGGGAAUUUUGCGCAAUGGGGGAAACCCUGACGCAGCAACGCCGCGUGCGGGACGACGGCCUUCGGGUUGUAAACCGCUUUCAGCAGGGAAGAAAUUCGACGGUACCUGCAGAAGAAGCUCCGGCUAACUACGUGCCAGCAGCCGCGGUAAUACGUAGGGAGCGAGCGUUAUCCGGAUUCAUUGGGCGUAAAGAGCGCGUAGGCGGCCUCUCAAGCGGGAUCUCUAAUCCGAGGGCUCAACCCCCGGCCGGAUCCCGAACUGGGAGGCUCGAGUUCGGUAGAGGCAGGCGGAAUUCCCGGUGUAGCGGUGGAAUGCGCAGAUAUCGGGAAGAACACCGAUGGCGAAGG